UGGGGAAUAUUGGGCAAUGGGCGAAAGCCUGACCCAGCGACGCCGCGUGGGUGAUGAAGGCCUUCGGGUUGUAAAGCCCUUUCGUGCGGAAAGAACAGUCCUGUGGCGAAUACCCGCAGGAUUUGACGGUACCGCAGGAAGAAGCACCGGCUAACUCCGUGCCAGCAGCCGCGGUAAUACGGAGGGUGCAAGCGUUGUUCGGAAUUAUUGGGCGUAAAGGGCGCGUAGGUGGUUGUGUAAGUCAGAUGUGAAAUACUUCGGCUCAACUGAAGAACUGCAUCUGAAACUACAUAGCUAGAGUACAGGAGAGGGAAACGGAAUUCCCGGUGUAGAGGUGAAAUUCGUAGAUAUCGGGAGGAACACCUGUGGCGAAGGCGGUUUCCUGGCCUGAUACUGACACUGAGGCGCGAAAGCGUGGGGAGCAAACA
Molecule: ribosomal RNA, 428 nt
Filed under: uncultured bacterium
Lineage: Bacteria
Description: bacterial SSU rRNA
Rfam family: Bacterial small subunit ribosomal RNA
Source: RNAcentral